GCAGCUCAUAGGGCGGCCUGCCUUCCAGAGGGCCUUGGGACUGGAUCGAAAGAUAUAUCUACUAGAAACAAUGAAGAGACGUCGUCGACUAGCUCUGAUCGAUCAGAUGUCGGUUUCUCUCAACCAGACCCCAGCGAUAUUGGAAGUUGUUCUCCACGGGCGGGUCUCAGCGACGAAGCCAGUCAAAACCAAAGGACUAUCUCCGAAGAAGGCGGGUCUGGUAGGCUCAGCCAUUGGCCCUCCUCUUCAGCGAUCGGUAGUGGACGAAAACGAAAACAAGCGAAUACAGGAACAAACGACACCUGCAGGAAAAAGCAAGCCCGUCGUGAGGGAUUCUCCCAUCCAAACAGUUCUCCACAGCCAGGACCCAGCGGUUAUAACCCGGGACGGCCGACAACAACACCCUCACCAACACCAGGUGAAAUAAGCCAACAUUUCAACGGGGCCUUAACAACGAUCGACGUGCCCGUCCCACCAGCAGACAACGGCGACAUUGCAUCAUAUUUCAACAACAACACUGGCCGUCUUCGCGAGGCAGUAGAGUCUGUAUUCCAAGGCUGCCAGCAGG
Molecule: long non-coding RNA, 568 nt
Organism: Eriocheir sinensis (Chinese mitten crab)
Lineage: Eukaryota; Metazoa; Arthropoda; Malacostraca; Decapoda; Varunidae
Exons: 4
Source: RefSeq, a predicted model, not a curated record